GAUGAACGCUAGCUACAGGCUUAACACAUGCAAGUCGAGGGGCAGCAUGGUCUUAGCUUGCUAAGGCCGAUGGCGACCGGCGCACGGGUGAGUAACACGUAUCCAACCUGCCGUCUACUCUUGGACAGCCUUCUGAAAGGAAGAUUAAUACAAGAUGGCAUCAUGAGUCCGCAUGUUCACAUGAUUAAAGGUAUUCCGGUAGACGAUGGGGAUGCGUUCCAUUAGAUAGUAGGCGGGGUAACGGCCCACCUAGUCUUCGAUGGAUAGGGGUUCUGAGAGGAAGGUCCCCCACAUUGGAACUGAGACACGGUCCAAACUCCUACGGGAGGCAGCAGUGAGGAAUAUUGGUCAAUGGGCGAGAGCCUGAACCAGCCAAGUAGCGUGAAGGAUGAAGGUCCUACGGAUUGUAAACUUCUUUAUACGGGAAUAAAGUAUCCUACGUGUAGGAUUUUGUAUGUACCGUAUGAAUAAGCAUCGGCU
RNAcentral lists this ribosomal RNA (480 nucleotides) under uncultured bacterium. Its description in RNAcentral is "bacterial SSU rRNA". It matches the Rfam family "Bacterial small subunit ribosomal RNA", at positions 28 to 498 of the family's 1533-position model. The record is from RNAcentral.